RNAcentral lists this ribosomal RNA (460 nucleotides) under uncultured bacterium. RNAcentral describes it as "partial 16S ribosomal RNA". It matches the Rfam family "Bacterial small subunit ribosomal RNA", at positions 338 to 795 of the family's 1533-position model. The record is from RNAcentral.
CCUACGGGUGGCAGCAGUGAGGAAUAUUGGUCAAUGGGCGGAAGCCUGAACCAGCCAAGUAGCGUGCAGGAUGACGGCCCUACGGGUUGUAAACUGCUUUUAUACGGGAAUAACGCGCCUUACGUGUAGGGCUUUGCAUGUACCGUGUGAAUAAGGACCGGCUAAAUCCGUGCCAGCAGCCGCGGUAAUACGGAAGGUCCGGGCGUUAUCCGGAUUUGUUGGGGUUAAAGGGUGGGGAGGCCGCAGCUCAAGCGUGCUGUGAAAUGGCCGGGCUCAACCCGGGCCUUGCGGGGCGAACUGGCGUGCUUGAGUCCGCGGAAAGCAGGCGGAAUUCGUCGGGUAGCGGUGAAAUGCUUAGAUAUGACGAAGAACCCCGAUUGCGAAGGCAGCUUGCUGCAGCGGAACUGACGCUGAAGCUCGAAGGCGCGGGUAUCGAACAGGAUUAGAUACCCGGGUAGUC